This 305-nucleotide ribosomal RNA is filed under the name uncultured bacterium. Its description in RNAcentral is "bacterial SSU rRNA". It matches the Rfam family "Bacterial small subunit ribosomal RNA", at positions 335 to 636 of the family's 1533-position model. The record is from RNAcentral.
UCCCCUACGGGGCGCAGCAGUGAGGAAUAUUGGUCAAUGGGCGAGAGCCUGAACCAGCCAAGCCGCGUGAAGGAUGACGGCCCUACGGGUUGUAAACUUCUUUUGUCAGGGAGCAAUUGGGUCCACGUGUGGGCUUAGCGAGAGUACCUGAAGAAAAAGCAUCGGCUAACUCCGUGCCAGCAGCCGCGGUAAUACGGAGGAUGCGAGCGUUAUCCGGAUUUAUUGGGUGUAAAGGGAGCGCAGGCGGCCUGCUAAGUCUGGUGUGAAAACCCGGGGCCCAACCCCGGGCCUGCAUUGGAAACUGG